UAAAAAAAUAGUAAGAGCAUAUGGUGAAUGCCUUGGAAAAUGGAGCCGAAGAAGGACGUGACUACCUGCGAUAAGUCUGGGGGAGCUGGAAGUGAGCUUCGAUCCCGGAAUUUCCGAAUGGGGAAACCU
This 129-nucleotide ribosomal RNA is filed under the name Mycoplasma mycoides. RNAcentral describes it as "partial 23S ribosomal RNA". It matches the Rfam family "Bacterial large subunit ribosomal RNA", at positions 1 to 129 of the family's 2925-position model. Lineage: Bacteria; Bacillati; Mycoplasmatota; Mollicutes; Mycoplasmatales; Mycoplasmataceae. The record is from RNAcentral.